GAAGUUACAGAGCGGCUCAAAGUUCAGGGUGCCCAAGAUUGCGGAUACCAUAGUCAAGAGCAGCAGCAGUGGCAAUGACACCCCCCAAGACAACUCCAGCAAGGAUGAAGAGGGCACUCAAGGAUGCAAAUGCGGCCAGGCAAGUGUCAGACAUGACUAGGCAUGAAGAUGUACCACUAACACCCCCAGAGUCAAGCCCCAAUAUUUUGGAACUCAAAGAGGCAACCAGUGAUCAAUGGUACACACCAACUGGUGGCAAGCAUGUUUCACUCAUCACCUCCACACCCAGAGGCUAAGUGUAAAGUCUAUCAGAAAAGAGGCCAGAAGGAUGAAUAAUUGUAUCUCAGAGAAAAUCCAAGAUCUCAAUAAAAGAUCGAAAACUAGCAAAACAUUUAUCAUGUAAAUAAUGUUUCAGUGUGAAUUUGCAUUUUCUAGAUAAAACAGAUUCCAGCUGU
This is a long non-coding RNA of Carcharodon carcharias (great white shark), 455 nucleotides long. RefSeq lists it as uncharacterized. The transcript has 3 exons. NCBI's taxonomy places the organism in Eukaryota, Metazoa, Chordata, Chondrichthyes, Lamniformes, Lamnidae. The record is from RefSeq and is a predicted model, not a curated record.